CCAACAGGGAUUGCCUCAGUAACGGCGAGUGAAGCGGCAACAGCUCAAAUUUGAAAUCUGGCCCUAGGCCCGAGUUGUAAUUUGCAGAGGAUGCUUCUGGCGCGGUGCCUUCCAAGUCCCCUGGAACGGGGCGCCAUAGAGGGUGAGAGCCCCGUCUGGUUGGCCGCCAAGCCUGUGUGAAGCUCCUUCGACGAGUCGAGUAGUUUGGGAAUGCUGCUCUAAAUGGGAGGUAGACCCCUUCUAAAGCUAAAUAUUGGCCAGAGACCGAUAGCGCACAAGUAGAGUGAUCGAAAGAUGAAAAGCACUUUGAAAAGAGGGUUAAACAGUACGUGAAAUUGUUGAAAGGGAAGCGCUUGUGACCAGACGUGCGUCGGGGUGUUCAGCGGGCGUUCUCGCCCGUGCACUCGCCCCGGCGCAGGCCAGCGUCGGUUCGGGCGGGGGGACAAAGGCGUUGGGAACGUAGCUCCUCCGGGAGUGUUAUAUCCCAGCGUGCCAUGCCCCCGCCUGGACCGAGGUUCGCGCUCCGCAAGGACGCUGGCGUAAUGGUCCCCAGCGGCCCGUCUUGAAACACGGACCAAGGAGUCGAGGUUUUGCGCGAGUGUUUGGGUGUCAAACCCGCACGCGUAAUGAAAGUGAACGCAGGUGGGAGCUUCGGCGCACCACCGACCGAUCCUGAUGUUCUCGGAUGGAUUUGAGUAAGAGCGUAGGGCCUCGGACCCGAAAGAUGGUGAACUAUACGUGAAUAGGGUGAAGCCAGAGGAAACUCUGGUGGAGGCUCGCAGCGGUUCUGACGUGCAAAUCGAUCGUCAAAUUUGCGUAUGGGGGCGAAAGACUAAUCGAACCAU
This 845-nucleotide ribosomal RNA is filed under the name Thozetella pinicola. RNAcentral describes it as "partial large subunit ribosomal RNA". It matches the Rfam family "Eukaryotic large subunit ribosomal RNA", at positions 65 to 943 of the family's 3401-position model. Lineage: Eukaryota; Fungi; Ascomycota; Sordariomycetes; Chaetosphaeriales; Chaetosphaeriaceae. The record is from RNAcentral.